UAAUAAUAGCGACCUGCCCCAUCCUUUAGCUAUUGUUGUUUUCCCCCUUUUAAAAUACUAACAAUGCAGUACUAUAUGAGUCUCCUCAAAAUUGUCAAGCAGCAACCACCCAAACUGCAUCCUCUGUACCAAAAGCCAUCUAAGGAAGCCCAGCAGAUGGUCUAGCUGCUGUGAAACAAAGAGUUGCUUUCAUUCUUAAAUUUGUUUCCUCAGCUCUUUUCAUUUGGUAACUCUGUAAUAGAACAUUUGACCUUUGCAAAGAUCAAAAUGUAAAUAAUGUUCUUUUCAUGUUGUUCUUUAGCAACCAUUUAAAAAGUCAAAUAACAUUAAAGUCCUUUUUUACUUUUAAAA
Long non-coding RNA from Podarcis raffonei (Aeolian wall lizard), 351 nucleotides. RefSeq lists it as uncharacterized. The record is from RefSeq and is a predicted model, not a curated record. The transcript is spliced from 2 exons. NCBI's taxonomy places the organism in Eukaryota, Metazoa, Chordata, Lepidosauria, Squamata, Lacertidae.